UGCUACCUGAUUCAGCGGCGGACGGGUGAGUAAUGCCUAGGAAUCUGCCCGAUAGUGGGGGACAACGUUUCGAAAGGAACGCUAAUACCGCAUACGUCCUACGGGAGAAAGUGGGGGAUCUUCGGACCUCACGCUAUCGGAUGAGCCUAGGUCGGAUUAGCUAGUUGGUGAGGUAAUGGCUCACCAAGGCGACGAUCCGUAACUGGUCUGAGAGGAUGAUCAGUCACACUGGAACUGAGACACGGUCCAGACUCCUACGGGAGGCAGCAGUGGGGAAUAUUGGACAAUGGGCGAAAGCCUGAUCCAGCCAUGCCGCGUGUGUGAAGAAGGUCUUCGGAUUGUAAAGCACUUUAAGUUGGGAGGAAGGGCAGUAAGCUAAUACCUUGCUGUUUUGACGUUACCAACAGAAUAAGCACCGGCUAACUCUGUGCCAGCAGCCGCGGUAAUACAGAGGGUGCAAGCGUUAAUCGGAAUUACUGGGCGUAAAGCGCGCGUAGGUGGUUCAGCAAGUUGGAUGUGAAAUCCCCGGGCUCAACCUGGGAACUGCAUCCAAAACUACUGAGCUAGAGUACAGUAGAGGGUGGUGGAAUUUCCUGUGUA
This 600-nucleotide ribosomal RNA is filed under the name uncultured bacterium. Its description in RNAcentral is "bacterial SSU rRNA". It matches the Rfam family "Bacterial small subunit ribosomal RNA", at positions 81 to 677 of the family's 1533-position model. The record is from RNAcentral.